CAGAAAUUUACUUUAUAUCUCCAAUCUCUCCAUUCUCCAUAGAAUAUAAUUUGUCAUUUCACUUUACUUGGUUUCCAUACCACCAACUAAAUGCAUCUGACAGUAGAGAGGGACAGUGCCUCACAGUGAAGAGGAGACAGGUCAGGAGUUGGAGGUUGCAGGAUGGGGCCCUAACACUGUUUCCUACUACAUAGUUCUGAGCAUGGCAUUGCUUUUCAGAGUCUCGGUUUACAUCUUGACAAGAUGGACAUCUAAGAAUCUGUGAAUGCAACAUCACUAAGUCCUCUAUACUGAAUAAAAUAUUGAGGAGGAAUUUGGGGGAUGAGGUUGUUCUUAACCUCAGCUGAACAAGACAACACAGAGACAGCACAGCGAAUUCUCUCUGAAUAUUCUUUGCCAACCCGAUGAGCUCAUCUCUCCAGGACACAGCAAGAAAGUCUGCAAGCCAGGAAGAGGGCCCUUACCAAGAACCAAAUCUUCCUGCAUCUCAGUCUUGGACUUCCCAGCCUCCAAAACUGUGAGAAAUAAAUGUCCGUUGUUUAAGCUACUCUGCCUAUGGUAAUUUGUUAUAGCAGCCCAAGCUGAGUAAGACGGGAUGUAAAAACAUGAUGGGGACUUGAUGUCAGUAUGGCUGCCUCCCCAUCUUUGGAGUGAAAUAGGAAAAGCUUUGAGGCAGAUUUUGGGGGGAAAAUCUUUUACCUGUGGGAUUUGGAGGAAACAGACUUAGAUCUGGGUAAAAUAGCUAAGUAGGUAGAAAGAGAAAGUGGAAGGCAGAAAAGAAAUUAGUGAAAUUUUUGCUAAUAUCCCUUUUUAAAGUUAGUCCUCUAAAACAGGUGGCAGUUGGAAAAAAAAUUCAGUAAUACUAGUUUUUUCCUGUUAUUGGAAAGCCUUCUAAUGCACUCAUGGCUACCUGGAAAGGUGUUAUAUUCACUCACAAAAUAAUUCAAUUGACCGAUCAAAAUUUAAAUAGGUAGUGGAAGCCACAGCUAGAUGAUUACAGAAUCCUAAGGGUAUUCUCUACUAGGUCACUUUCUGGAGAAUACCAGCAGAAGUCUGGAAAAUCAUUAUUGGCACACUGUAAUGAUAGAUACUGCAGAAAUAAAAGAAUUAAGCUUGAUGACUGAUCUCCAAGUUGCUGAGAACUUUUUUGAGCAAACAUCUCCACAUGGUAUGACAACUGAUCUCCUAUGUUUGAUGAAGGUGGGGGAUUGGCCGACUUGCUCUGGAAAAGGUAACUGACAUAUCUCUUCCCCAGGCAACAAACUAAACACUUCUGAAGCAGUAGGAAUAGUCUGUGUGCAUUGAGAGAUAUAAUUAAAAAUAAAAUCUCCUGCUAAGCCAGAAAAUCUCUCUAAAAAGGUAGAAGAGAAGGAAAACAGUUUUAUGAUUGAAUAGGCAUUAAACCAGAAUGUGAUGUGCAUUACUGAUAAUUCACUAAAGAGAUUGCAAAGACAGAAAGAAAUCUUACCCUCUUAUACAGCCAAGCAGAUAGAACGCAUUACGUACCUGAUCUCAAGAUGAAUAAUAACUAGUCCUCAAGGAAGAGAACUUGACAGUAGUAUUUGUUACACAUAGUUCAUCCUAAAUUCACUUGAUAAUUGGGUGGCCAUCAGGGUUUGGGUUAGCUAAUUGGUUUCAUCCAAAGGAAAAACAUAAACUUUUCACAUUUUUAUGACAAACUUUCGGUUUGGGGCUCUUAUAUCAGCCAGGUUUUUAAAGAAUUUGGAAUUACCAAAGCUGGAGGAGAGGCUACAGUCAAUUUCAGUUGUUCUAAAGCAUCUUGAGAAUCUAGGAACAAACCAGGGGACCUGGAAAAUUAUGUAUUAAUUGCUUAGUCAGAGGUUUUGUUCACUCUGCAAGUGUUGGAAUCUACCGUCUACUAUUCUGUGCUACUCUCAUAAAAUGUCUAAGCUUUUGGUUUUGGAGGGUUUUUUUUUUUGGUAGCAGGCC
Molecule: long non-coding RNA, 1950 nt
Organism: Equus caballus (horse)
Lineage: Eukaryota; Metazoa; Chordata; Mammalia; Perissodactyla; Equidae
Source: Ensembl